Molecule: long non-coding RNA, 235 nt
Filed under: Brassica rapa (field mustard)
Lineage: Eukaryota; Viridiplantae; Streptophyta; Magnoliopsida; Brassicales; Brassicaceae
Description: long non-coding RNA (BRAP_LNC006519)
Source: RNAcentral
UUGGCCCCAUAAAAGAUCCAAAUUAUCAACCUACAAUGCUUUUAAGCAAGGAAAAACAACUUUGAAUUAUGCUUUAUGCAUGUCAGUUUUUCCUAAGAAAAUCAUGUUCUGAUAGUCGAAACCCAAUAAAAUUAAAAUUUCUAACCGAUGAAAUAUAUAGUUAUAAAAUGUAUUUUAAGAGACAAAAAAAUUACCGUAAAUGCAGAAAAUUCGAUUGUUAUUAAAAUAUUCUGAG